GCUUGCUUCGGCAGGCACAUAUACUAAAAAUUGGAAUGGAUACCAGAGAAGAGUUAUCACAUGGCCCCUGCGCAAGGAUGACAUGCAAAAUUUGUGAAGCAUUCCGCAUAUUU
This 113-nucleotide small nuclear RNA is filed under the name Laticauda laticaudata (blue-ringed sea krait). The record is from RNAcentral. Lineage: Eukaryota; Metazoa; Chordata; Lepidosauria; Squamata; Elapidae.